RNAcentral lists this long non-coding RNA (4527 nucleotides) under Solanum tuberosum (potato). Its description in RNAcentral is "long non-coding RNA (STUB_LNC010236)". The record is from RNAcentral. Lineage: Eukaryota; Viridiplantae; Streptophyta; Magnoliopsida; Solanales; Solanaceae.
UGAAAAAGCCUGCUACCGCGGGAUGUGCAAGCACCUGUUUUUGUGGUGCCCAUUUCACUAUCCGUCCUCUUUCUGCUACCAUUUCCUCAAAACCAUCAGGGAGUGCCUCAGCACAUUGAAAACCAUAGACAGAGCCCGGUCGAAUAACCCACAAGAAGGGUUGAUCACUAUUAGCUAAUCCCCAAGCAGUCUCAAUUAGCUCUUUGUCAUCAAUCCUCAUUAGGCUACCUAAGCUGACAUAGAGAACAGAGUUAGGAGCUUGUCUGUCGAGCCACUCGAUGCAGCUGUUGUCUUCUUCUAGUAUGCUAGUCGAUGAGGCCAUAGGCACCAUUUUGUGAAAAGGUCCUAUUGGAAAGAAGGGCACCUUGUAAUGUUCCUGAAGGCGUAACAACAAUGAAUUCUCCAAGUCUUGCAUCGUGUUCCAAAUAGUCGCAACAGAUGAUCCUAUAUCACUCAUUGAUCUGCUGAAGUCUAGUAUCGGUGCUUGAACUGUAUUAUUAACGACAUUAAUUGGUAUAUCCUUAAACCUCAAGGGAUGAAGCUCUGGUAACGGAUCCAGCAGUUGAGAAUCUGGACUUGAAAGUGAGUAAUCAAUGCAGACUUAGCAAAAGAUACAACAUAAUGUAAGAAAAAGAUUAUAGUCUAUUGACCAUCUAUUUUUAGUAAAAUCGAAUGGAAGGAGUACUUUUCAUUUCCUUUUUUAUUCUAUAAUCAUCGGUGCUUGAAAUGAAUGUAAAUAGGGAACAUGGUUAGUGAGAUUUACAUAGCCAACCCCAACUUGUUUGGGGCUGACGCGUAGUUAUUGCUAUAUUAUUGAAUUUGAAAUGAUUUUUCAGUUAAAUGUUGAAGUAAUUGUUCUCAUACCUUUAAAAGGAAAAUAUUUUUCUGGUUGCUGUAAAAUGGUGAUCAUAGAGUCCAAAUACGCAGCACUGUAAGUGCGCAGGACAAUGCUGGGAAGUCUGAGCUGAGUAGCUACAUCAUCGACGAAGAACAUGAUGCUGUCAUAAAUGAUACAAGCGAGCUGAUCACCUUCCUCUUCCAUCAUCCUAACAAGGUAGUUUCUCAGGGGCGCCUUACAGCUCUCGUUCAUACGAUAUAUACUCUUUAAACCCGGGAAUGACAUGUCCAUUCCCUUUAAUCCGUCAUCCAUAGAAUGGAAGACGAAUUCAGGAUGAUUGGAAUAAUUAGGAGCAUUGUGUUGAGUAUGUGCUACUAUAACAGAAAAGCCUUGUGAAUGAAGGAUACUUCCAAGCUGCAGCAUUGGUGUUAAAUGCCCCUGGAGUAGGAAUGGCACUAGUACUACACUCUGUUUUCUUUCUACUUUCAUCUUUGUUUUCUUGGAAUUUCUCUUCUAUUCAAAAGUUUAGUAGUACGAGGUACUAGUUUUCUUGAAGGAAGUUUAUGUAUAGCUCUCAAAUUUUGGGACUCUUGACCAGCAAGGGCGGAUCUAGCAUUAAAGUUUUGGGUUAAUGUUAAUCAAGUAGCUUUAGCUCAGAUCUCGUAUUUUUACUAAAAAUCUAUCAAUAUUAAUUGUACCUUUUGUUUUUAUUUGUUAUAAAUUGUUUUGACCUGCUACUUGAUACUCCUUGGGAGAUUUUAUUUGUUCACUUUUGAAUUGACAUACCUAUUAAGAAAAUAAUUAUUGAUAUAGUAAGUUUACUAUUUUACUUCUAUUAAUUAUGAAGUGGAUGAAUUAAAGAUUUAACAUUUUCAAGAAGUUCUACUUUUUUCAAAGUGAUUAAUUGAGAAUAUAAUAGAAUUUUUGUUUAUCCUUUCUUGAUUUGUCAAAAUAAAUAAGUAAUUAAAAAUAACUAAUAAAAUAAAAUAAAUAAGUAAUUAGAAACAGAAAAGAAAGUAUUGAAUGAGGGGUAAUGAAUUGGAACAACUCACCAUUCUCAAUCCCAAAAAAAUGAGUAACGAGAUCCACAAGUAAGCCCUCAAUCUUGGAAUUGGUGCUGUUUGUCUUUAUAUAUGUAAAGUCUUCUAGUCCAAUAUAAUUAAGUAUUCACGGUGAGACGCUCAUAUCAAGAAAAAUUGAUGUGCAUGUUUUUAAAAUGUUUUUUUAUUCUAAUAAUUUUGUUGGUUAAUUACUUGAAUUUUUAGUUAUAUGAAGGUUCGAUUUUUCUAUCUUUUAAUUUAUUUAUAUAUAAUAUAUGUUGAACCUUCUUGGUGAAAUUAUGUCUAGGCUACUAUAUGUAUUAGCUGAUAUUAUGAUUAUCUUCUAUAAUUUUUCUCUUCCCUAGAUUGAAUUGUGAAGGAUUUAUACUCGGAGAUUUAUACGAAAUAAUACAUACCUUUUUCUCUAUAAUUGAGUGUGUUAUCACCACCAAUUUCCUUAGCAUUUUCUUACACGAUCACUAUGGAGACUAUGAAGUCUUGUUAAGUCCUUACUAGGACAAUGUUGAGACUUGUAACUUUUAUUCAUUUAAGAGUUACAUAACCCCUUAUCUCAUAAUUUCCACUCCAUUCAUGAAUACCAUAACUCUUUCUCUUUUACCAAUAAAGAUUGUGGUGGAGUGGUAAGUGCCUAACUUUUAAUUAGAGAUUAAGGGUUCGAGUUAAUUAGAGAUUAAGGGUGGAGUGUAUAUGAUUUGUUGGUAUACGAAGAAAAAUUGGUAGAUAUGGAGCACAUUGAUGCCAAUAGGGUUGAAAUUUCACUGCUGGAUAUUGAUCCUACUUUAGUCCCAGGUUCUUUCUUAGAGUAGCCUAAUGGGAUUGAAGUAUUUAACCCUGAAUCAUUCAGGUCUUCUUUAAAUGCGACUAGCCUGACUACUAACUUAGAAGACCGAGAAAUCAUUAAAAGAAAAAAAAAAAAGUGCCGUGAUUUGAACUUUAAACUAACCGAACACCAAGAAAUAAGUAAGAAAACCAUUUAUUUUCCACAAAAAUGAUUUCUAGGAAAAUAUAUUCAUUCAUACCAAACACAACCAUAGCUCCCUCCAUAUUAUAUUUUUAACAUAGGGAUAACAAAGAGUAAAUAUAUCUCAGUUCUAACAACUAGCAAACAAUAUGUCAAAGUUCCCAACUUAUUAAACAAAUCAACAGACUAAAAUAAGAAAGUUUUAUGAUUAUAGCAGGCUGCUAUAUUGCUUCAGCAUUUACCCCACGGACUUCAGAAAAAUUCACUAAUCACCAAUUUUGAUUUUUAUUCCAACAGUUACUCACUUAUAAUGUCCAUAUAAAUAUCGAAUGUCAAAUGAGUUGAAAACAAAAUCAAUAAAUACUCUUGGGUCAAGUUGGGACCCGGGAUUGGGAUCGAGAUUUGAGAUUUGGGUCAGGAGUCGGGGUUGAGGUCUCUGGAUGGAGUCAUGGAUCUGGGUUGAGGUUAGGUCCAGAGUUAACUUCGGGUUGCAGUUCGUGGCAUGGGGUCAGUUGUCAGGUCCUAGGUUAAGGUUAGGUCAGGGUUUGGUCGAGGAUCAAGUUUUGAGUCGGUGUUGAGGUCAGGGUUUUGGUUUAGGUCAGUGUUGGGGUGAGGUCGGGUCGAGUCAAGUCCGGGUCUAUAUAUGUUAUAGGGUGGUUCCAGGUCUAGGUGUACAAAGAUACUCGUGGGACAAUAAUAUUCUUUACUAAUCAAACACCAGAAAAUAAGUAAGCAAAUCAUUUAUUUUCCACGAAAAUAUUGUCCUACCAACUAGGAAACAAUAUGUCAAAGUUCCCAACUUAUAAAAUUAAUCAACAAACUAAAUUAAACUGCUUCAGCAUUAAGUAAAAGUUCACUUCUUAUCUUAUUCUUCGUUUUGUGAUUAAGGACUUGUUGUCUUGCCAAGCUAACAGGCCACAAAUAUAUGGUUUGAGCUCAAAAAUUACUUCCAGACUCUAUGAUACACUUGCUUGUUAUAUGGUUUGAGCUCAUGAUUGCCCCAAAAACAGGUGUUGGUGGAGCGGGUCUUGAUGGCAACGCAGAAAUGAAGUCUACCAAAUCAUUCAGAUUCUUAUGUGAAGUACCAUCAAUCUGCAUAGCAGCAACUAUGUUUUGUUUCAUGUCUACUACUCUUUUCUUCACAUCUUUGCCUUCUUCACUUAACAUGAGUUUUCUUACUGUUUUCUCUAUGACCGUUCUCUCGAUAACCUCCAAUUCGAACCCAACCUUGUAUAUUUGGCUCAGAUACCUAGCUGUCACCGGCUGGUCUGCUACAAAUGGCCUGCAUAUCAAAGGGACUUCCUCCAAAAUACUUUCAAGCGUAGAAUUCCAACCACAAUGAGUGAAAAAGCCUGCUACCGCGGGAUGUGCAAGCACCUGUUUUUGUGGUGCCCAUUUCACUAUUCGUCCUCUUUCUCCUACCAUUUUCUCAAAACCAUCAGGCAGUACCUCAGGACAUUGAAAGCCAGAGACAGAGCCAGGUCGAAUAACCCACAAGAAGGGUUGAUCACUAUUAGCUAAUCCCCAAGCAGUCUCAAUUAGCUCUUUGUCAUCAAUCCUCACUAGGCUACCCAAGCUGACAUAGAGAACAGAAUUAGGGGCUUGUCUAUCGAGCCACUCGAUGCAGCUAUUGUCUUCUUCUAGUAUGCUAGUCGAUGAGGCCAAAG